This 467-nucleotide ribosomal RNA is filed under the name uncultured bacterium. RNAcentral describes it as "partial 16S ribosomal RNA". It matches the Rfam family "Bacterial small subunit ribosomal RNA", at positions 28 to 507 of the family's 1533-position model. The record is from RNAcentral.
GAUGAACGCUGGCGGCGCGCCUAACACAUGCCAGUCGAACGAUUAAAGCACCUUCGGGUGUGUAUAAAGUGGCGAACGGCUGAGUAACACGUGGGCAACCUGCCCCUUUCAUUGGGAUAGCCACGGGAAACCGUGGAUAAUACCGAAUACUUCGAGACUUCCGCAUGGAAGACUCGAGAAAGCUCCGGCGGAGAGGGGUGGGCCCGCGGCCUGUUAGCUUGUUGGUGGGGUAACGGCCUACCAAGGCAAUGCUGGGUAGCUGGGUUGAGAGACCGACCAGCCAGAUGGGGACUGAGACAGGGCCCAGACUCCUACGGGAGGCAGCAGUGGGGAAUCUUGCACAAUGGGCGAAAGCCUGAUGCAGCGACGCCGCGUGCGGGAUGAAGGCCUUCGGGUUGUAAACCGCUUUCAGCAGGGACGAGGCGAAAGUGACGGUACCUGCAGAAGAAGCCCCGGCUAACUACGUG